Non-coding RNA from Bactrocera oleae (olive fruit fly), 440 nucleotides. The record is from RefSeq and is a predicted model, not a curated record. NCBI's taxonomy places the organism in Eukaryota, Metazoa, Arthropoda, Insecta, Diptera, Tephritidae.
UGAAUUCAAAAGCUUUCUUUACUCUCACAGAUAGAGAUCUCAAACAUUGGUUUCGAGGUUCUAUCAGGUGCAAAAUGCUAAAGGUUCAAGCCCAGCACCAACGCGCUGAUUGGAUAAUAUCAAUGGUAGUAUGGUUCAAGCAAAAAAAAGAUUAUUUACAGGUUAUUUUUAUAAUAGUCAAACCAACUAUGACUUAAUAUAGGAACAUAUAAACCCUUCCUACUUAAAGAAAACUUAAAUGCAUAAAGCGAACAGCGUGCUUCCUAUUUUAAACAUAUGCCUUUGCUACCACAGCUCAAUGGCAACACUGUCGCCACUUUGAUCCUCAUGGGAAAUAUGAUCUGCAUACUUGCUCGUACACGGUAAGCGAUAUGGAUACGGUUGACAUGUAUGUACAUGAAGUCAAGCCAAAACAAAUAAUAAAAACAACAUAAACAAAG